GAUGAACGCUGGCGGCGUGCCUAACACAUGCAAGUCGAACGAGAUGCGUAUUGGAAAGCUUCGGCCGGAAGAUGCGUUAUCUAGUGGCGGACGGGUGAGUAACACGUGGGUAACCUGCCUUAUGGAGGGGGAUAACAGAGAGAAAUCACUGCUAAUACCGCAUAAGCACACAUUGCCGCAUGGCAGAGUGUGAAAAGAUUUAUCGCCAUAAGAUGGACCCGCGUCUGAUUAGCCAGUUGGCAGGGUAAAAGCCUACCAAAGCAACGAUCAGUAGCCGAUCUGAGAGGAUGACCGGCCACAUUGGGACUGAGACACGGCCCAAACUCCUACGGGAGGCAGCAGUGGGGAAUAUUGCACAAUGGGGGAAACCCUGAUGCAGCGACGCCGCGUGAGUGAAGAAGUAUUUCGGUAUGUAAAGCUCUAUCAGCAGGGAAGAUAAUGACAGUACCUGACUAAGAAGCCCCGGCUAACUACGUGCCAGCAGCCGCGGUAAUACGUAGGGGGCAAGCGUUAUCCGGAUUUACUGGGUGUAAAGGGAGCGUAGACGGAGUGGCAAGUCUGAAGUGAAAACCCUGGGCUUAACCUGGGGACUGCUUUGGAAACUGUUAAUCUAGAGUGUUGGAGAGGUAAGUGGAAUUCCUGGUGUAGCGGUGAAAUGCGUAGAUAUCAGGAAGAACACCGGAGGCGAAGGCGGCUUACUGGACAAUAACUGACGUUGAGGCCCGAAAGCGUGGGGAUCAAACAGG
Molecule: ribosomal RNA, 746 nt
Filed under: uncultured Oribacterium sp.
Lineage: Bacteria; Bacillati; Bacillota; Clostridia; Lachnospirales; Lachnospiraceae
Description: bacterial SSU rRNA
Rfam family: Bacterial small subunit ribosomal RNA
Source: RNAcentral